Molecule: long non-coding RNA, 294 nt
Organism: Nematostella vectensis (starlet sea anemone)
Lineage: Eukaryota; Metazoa; Cnidaria; Anthozoa; Actiniaria; Edwardsiidae
Exons: 2
Source: RefSeq, a predicted model, not a curated record
UUGAAAUCGAUGUGCAUGCCCAACAUAGCCCCGAUGACAGGGCGGGAAGAUCUGUCACGCAACGCUAUCAUUUGCAUAAACAACGGAGAGAUUUUGUCUGCCUCCGGAUUAAAAAUCAUUCAGCUGGGUUUGACCUUUGACAGUACAAGCUUGCUACUAGCCACACGAAUUAUCCCACUUCGCGUCGUGGUGAAUCGCCGAGAAUACGAGAUUCUCCUUGUCUUCGGGAAAGAUUGAGAUAUCUUAAAACAAAUGUAUCAGAAAUCAAAUGAAGCCGCUUUCCAUGUUUAUACA